RNAcentral lists this ribosomal RNA (490 nucleotides) under uncultured bacterium. Its description in RNAcentral is "partial 16S ribosomal RNA". It matches the Rfam family "Bacterial small subunit ribosomal RNA", at positions 30 to 507 of the family's 1533-position model. The record is from RNAcentral.
AUUGAACGCUGGCGGCAGGCCUAACACAUGCAAGUCGAACGGUAACAGGAAGAAGCUUGCUUCUUUGCUGACGAGUGGCGGACGGGUGAGUAAUGUCUGGGAAACUGCCUGAUGGAGGGGGAUAACUACUGGAAACGGUAGCUAAUACCGCAUAACGUCGCAAGACCAAAGAGGGGGACCUUCGGGCCUUUUGCCAUCGGAUGUGCCCAGAUGGGAUUAGCUAGUAGGUGGGGUAACGGCUCACCUAGGCGACGAUCCCUAGCUGGUCUGAGAGGAUGACCAGCCACACUGGAACUGAGACACGGUCCAGACUCCUACGGGAGGCAGCAGUGGGGAAUAUUGCACAAUGGGCGCAAGCCUGAUGCAGCCAUGCCGCGUGUAUGAAGAAGGCCUUCGGGUUGUAAAGUACUUUCAGUGGGGAGGAAGGGAGUAAAGUUAAUACCUUUGCUCAUUGACGUUACCCGCAGAAGAAGCACCGGCUAACUCCGUG